This 498-nucleotide ribosomal RNA is filed under the name uncultured bacterium. RNAcentral describes it as "partial 16S ribosomal RNA". It matches the Rfam family "Bacterial small subunit ribosomal RNA", at positions 28 to 507 of the family's 1533-position model. The record is from RNAcentral.
GACGAACGCUGGCGGCAUGCCUAAUACAUGCAAGUUGAACGAUGAUAUUCUCUGCUUGCAGAGAAUUGAAGAGUAGCGAACGGGUGAGUAACACGUGGGGAACCUGCCCAUGAGAGGGGGAUAACAUUCGGAAACGGAUGCUAAUACCGCAUAAUGCUUUGGACCGCCUGGUCCAGAGACGAAAGACGGCUUUUGCUGUCACUCAUGGAUGGCCCCGCGCCGUAUUAGCUAGUUGGUGAGGUAAUGGCUCACCAAAGCUGUGAUACGUAGCCGACCUGAGAGGGUGAUCGGCCACACUGGGACUGAGACACGGCCCAGACUCCUACGGGAGGCAGCAGUAGGGAAUCUUCCACAAUGGGCGAAAGCCUGAUGGAGCAAUGCCGCGUGAGUGAAGAAGGUCUUCGGAUCGUAAAGUUCUGUUAUUAGAGAAGAACAAGUCAAGGAGUAACUGUCUUGACUUUGACGGUACCUAACCAGAAAGUCACGGCUAACUACGUG